Molecule: long non-coding RNA, 539 nt
Organism: Armigeres subalbatus
Lineage: Eukaryota; Metazoa; Arthropoda; Insecta; Diptera; Culicidae
Exons: 3
Source: RefSeq, a predicted model, not a curated record
UCUUCUUAAGAAGUGAUAUCUUUUCUUUAAAAUAAAAGUAAAAACUUUGAAAUCUAAAGUAAAGUGUUUAAUUCAAACAUACUUUUUGUCUGGUCUGGGUGUCAACUUUGAAAUUAGUCUCAUGAAAACAAAAGUUUUUAAACUUUUAUUUUCAAAACAAACAAUGUUUGAAAAAACGCGCCGUGACAGAUUACCAUGAAACAAAAAGAAGUUAUGCGAUUGGUUCUGUGGUGAUUGUUUGGAGUUGUAGUCACUCGUUAUAGAUUUAAUGGCAGUGAUUUAUGAGAUGUUGAGCCAGAACAAUCAAAACUGGCUUUGAUACCCCACCAUUUGCGAUAAUGGCCUUGGAAAUAUCACUUCAUGGAGUUAUUUCCUGUUUGGCGGAACACGGAACACAUCAGAUGAGUUAUGACGCCAUUUGGAACCCCAAAGGAACAGUAUCUGAUAAACUCGACUAAGCCGUUGGGAGCAGGUGCCGUCGAAUCAACAUGAAAGGAUGGAUCAAGCGAUAUACCUAUCGCUAUCACCGCCGGAUCGAG